This 455-nucleotide ribosomal RNA is filed under the name Lacticaseibacillus casei. RNAcentral's name for it is "bacterial SSU rRNA". It matches the Rfam family "Bacterial small subunit ribosomal RNA", at positions 1016 to 1471 of the family's 1533-position model. Lineage: Bacteria; Bacillati; Bacillota; Bacilli; Lactobacillales; Lactobacillaceae. The record is from RNAcentral.
CCCUUCGGGGGCAAAAUGACAGGUGGUGCAUGGUUGUCGUCAGCUCGUGUCGUGAGAUGUUGGGUUAAGUCCCGCAACGAGCGCAACCCUUAUGACUAGUUGCCAGCAUUUAGUUGGGCACUCUAGUAAGACUGCCGGUGACAAACCGGAGGAAGGUGGGGAUGACGUCAAAUCAUCAUGCCCCUUAUGACCUGGGCUACACACGUGCUACAAUGGAUGGUACAACGAGUUGCGAGACCGCGAGGUCAAGCUAAUCUCUUAAAGCCAUUCUCAGUUCGGACUGUAGGCUGCAACUCGCCUACACGAAGUCGGAAUCGCUAGUAAUCGCGGAUCAGCACGCCGCGGUGAAUACGUUCCCGGGCCUUGUACACACCGCCCGUCACACCAUGAGAGUUUGUAACACCCGAAGCCGGUGGCGUAACCCUUUUAGGGAGCGAGCCGUCUAAGGUGACAAA